RNAcentral lists this ribosomal RNA (449 nucleotides) under uncultured bacterium. RNAcentral describes it as "bacterial SSU rRNA". It matches the Rfam family "Bacterial small subunit ribosomal RNA", at positions 335 to 798 of the family's 1533-position model. The record is from RNAcentral.
ACUCCUACGGGAGGCAGCAGUGGGAAUAUUGCACAAUGGGCGCAAGCCUGAUGCAGCGACGCCGCGUGGGGAUGGACGGCCUCGGGUUGUAAAACCUCUUUCAGUACCGACGAAGCGCAAGUGACGGUAGGUACAGAAGAAGCACCGGCCAACUACGUGCCAGCAGCCGCGGUAAUACGUAGGGUGCGAGCGUUGUCCGGAAUUACUGGGCGUAAAGAGCUCGUAGGUGGUUUGUCGCGUUGUCCGUGAAAUCCCACGGCUUAACUGUGGGCGUGCGGGCGAUACGGGCAGACUGGAGUACUGCAGGGAGACUGGAAUUCCUGGUGUAGCGGUGGAAUGCGCAGAUAUCAGGAGGAACACCGGUGGCGAAGGCGGGUCUCUGGGCAGUAACUGACGCUGAGGAGCGAAAGCGUGGGGAGCGAACAGGAUUAGAUACCCUGUAGGCUCUG